UGGCGAACGGGUGAGCAACACGUGGGUGAUCUGCCCUGCACUCUGGGAUAAGCCUGGGAAACUGGGUCUAAUACCGGAUAGGACCAUGCUUUAGUGUGUGUGGUGGAAAGUUUUUUCGGUGUAGGAUGAGCCCGCGGCCUAUCAGCUUGUUGGUGGGGUAAUGGCCUACCAAGGCGGCGACGGGUAGCCGGACUGAGAGGUUGGUCGGCCACAUUGGGACUGAGAUACGGCCCAG
This 235-nucleotide ribosomal RNA is filed under the name uncultured Actinomycetales bacterium. Its description in RNAcentral is "partial 16S ribosomal RNA". It matches the Rfam family "Bacterial small subunit ribosomal RNA", at positions 96 to 334 of the family's 1533-position model. Lineage: Bacteria; Bacillati; Actinomycetota; Actinomycetes; Actinomycetales. The record is from RNAcentral.